RNAcentral lists this ribosomal RNA (492 nucleotides) under uncultured bacterium. Its description in RNAcentral is "partial 16S ribosomal RNA". It matches the Rfam family "Bacterial small subunit ribosomal RNA", at positions 29 to 507 of the family's 1533-position model. The record is from RNAcentral.
AGUGAACGCUGGCGGUAGGCCUAACACAUGCCAGUCGAACGGCAGCACAGUAAGAGCUUGCUCUUACGGGUGGCGAGUGGCGGACGGGUGAGGAAUACAUCGGAAUCUACUUUUUCGUGGGGGAUAACGUAGGGAAACUUACGCUAAUACCGCAUACGACCUACGGGUGAAAGCAGGGGAUCUUCGGACCUUGCGCGAUUGAAUGAGCCGAUGUCGGAUUAGCUAGUUGGCGGGGUAAAGGCCCACCAAGGCGACGAUCCGUAGCUGGUCUGAGAGGAUGAUCAGCCAAACUGGAACUGAGACGCGGUCCAGACUCCUACGGGAGGCAGCAGUGGGGAAUAUUGGACAAUGGGCGCAAGCCUGAUCCAGCCAUACCGCGUGGGUGAAGAAGGCCUUCGGGUUGUAAAGCCCUUUUGUUGGGAAAGAAAAGCAGCAGGUUAAUACCCCGCUGUUCUGACGGUACCCAAAGAAUAAGCACCGGCUAACUUCGUG